RNAcentral lists this ribosomal RNA (301 nucleotides) under uncultured bacterium. RNAcentral's name for it is "partial 16S ribosomal RNA". It matches the Rfam family "Bacterial small subunit ribosomal RNA", at positions 509 to 807 of the family's 1533-position model. The record is from RNAcentral.
CAGUCGCCACGGUAAUACGUAGGGUGCGAGCGUUGUCCGGAAUUAUUGGGCGUAAAGAGCUUGUAGGCGGUCUGUCGCGUCUGCUGUGAAAACCCGAGGCUCAACCUCGGGCCUGCAGUGGGUACGGGCAGACUAGAGUGCGGUAGGGGAGAACGGAACUCCUGGUGUAGCGGUGGAAUGCGCAGAUAUCAGGAAGAACACCGAUGGCGAAGGCAGUUCUCUGGGCCGUAACUGACGCUGAGAAGCGAAAGCGUGGGGAGCGAACAGGAUUAGAUACCCGCGUAGUCCCUGUCUCUUAUAC